AUUGAACGCUGGCGGCAUGCCUUACACAUGCAAGUCGAACGGCAGCACGGGUGCUUGCACCUGGUGGCGAGUGGCGAACGGGUGAGUAAUACAUCGGAACGUACCUUAUCGUGGGGGAUAACGCAGCGAAAGUUGCGCUAAUACCGCAUACGCCCUGAGGGGGAAAGCGGGGGACCGUAAGGCCUCGCGCGAUUAGAGCGGCCGAUGUCUGAUAAGCUUGUUGGGGGGGUAAAACCUCACCAAGGCGAUGAUCAGUAGCUGGUCGGAGAGGACGAUCAGCCAAAGUGGGACUGAGACACGGCCCAGACUCCUACGGGAGGCAGCAGUGGGGAAUUUUGGACAAUGGGGGAAACCCUGAUCCAGAAAUGCCGCGUGAGUGAAGAAGGCCUUGGGGUUGUAAAGCUCUUUUGUCAGGGAAGAAACAGCAGCUCUAACACAGUCUGCGAAUGACGGUACCUGAAGAAUAAGCACCGGCUAACUACGUGCCAGCCGCCGCGGUAA
This 501-nucleotide ribosomal RNA is filed under the name uncultured bacterium. RNAcentral describes it as "partial 16S ribosomal RNA". It matches the Rfam family "Bacterial small subunit ribosomal RNA", at positions 29 to 523 of the family's 1533-position model. The record is from RNAcentral.